UGCAGAAUUCCGUGAACCAUUGAGUCUUUGAACGCAAGUUGCGCCCGAUGCCAUUAGGUUGAGGGCACGUCUGCCUGGGUGUCACAUAUCGAAGCCUCCUGCCAAUUUCCUUUUGAUAGGUAUUGUGCAUGCUGGUGAAUGUUGGCCUCCCGUGAGCUCUAUUGUCUCAUGGUUGGUUGAAAAUUGAGACCUUGGUAGGGUGUGCCAUGAUAGAUGGUGGUUGUGUGACCCACGAGAAACCAAGAUCAUGUGCUGCCCUAUUCAAUUCGGCCUCUUUUACCCAUAUGCGUUUUGUACGACGCUCGUGAUGAGACCUCAGGUCAGGCGGGGCUACCCGCUGAAUUUAAGCAUAUCAAUAAGCGGAGGAAAAGAAACUAACAAGGAUUCCCUUAGUAACGGCGAGCGAACCGGGAUAAGCCCACCAUGAAAAUCG
Molecule: ribosomal RNA, 433 nt
Filed under: Melilotus altissimus
Lineage: Eukaryota; Viridiplantae; Streptophyta; Magnoliopsida; Fabales; Fabaceae
Description: eukaryotic LSU rRNA
Rfam family: Eukaryotic large subunit ribosomal RNA (bases 311-433)
Source: RNAcentral